This 425-nucleotide ribosomal RNA is filed under the name uncultured bacterium. RNAcentral's name for it is "partial 16S ribosomal RNA". It matches the Rfam family "Bacterial small subunit ribosomal RNA", at positions 354 to 796 of the family's 1533-position model. The record is from RNAcentral.
GUGGGGAAUCUUGCGCAAUGGGCGAAAGCCUGACGCAGCCAUGCCGCGUGAAUGAUGAAGGUCUUAGGAUUGUAAAAUUCUUUCACCGGGGACGAUAAUGACGGUACCCGGAGAAGAAGCCCCGGCUAACUUCGUGCCAGCAGCCGCGGUAAUACGAAGGGGGCUAGCGUUGCUCGGAUUUACUGGGCGUAAAGGGCGCGUAGGCGGACAUUUAAGUCAGGGGUGCAAGCCCGGGGCUCAACCUCGGAACUGCCUUUGAUACUGGGUGUCUUGAGUAUGAGAGAGGUGUGUGGAACUCCGAGUGUAGAGGUGAAAUUCGUAGAUAUUCGGAAGAACACCAGUGGCGAAGGCGACACACUGGCUCAUUACUGACGCUGAGGCGCGAAAGCGUGGGGAGCAAACAGGAUUAGAAACCCUGGUAGUCC